GUGCAGCCGUACGCGCUCGCGCGUCUAGGUGAAACCGCGAAAGGCUCAUUAAAUCAGUUAUGGUUCCUUGGAUCGUACCGCUCAGUUACUUGGAUAACUGUGGUAAUUCUAGAGCUAAUACAUGCCGACAGAGUUCCGACCGUCUUCGCGGGCGGGAGGAACGCUUUUAUUAGAUCAAAACCCAUCGGGCUCGGUCGCUUGCGGCCGGUCCGACAACACUCGGUCCGCUUCGCGCGGGCCGACCAAGUGGUGACUCUGAAUAACUUUGUGCUGAUCGCACGGUCUCCGUACUGGCGAUGCAUCUUUCAAAUGUCUGCCUUAUCAACUGUCGAUGGUAGGUUAUGCGCCUACCAUGGUGGUAACGGGUGACGGGGGAUUAGGGUUCGAUCCCGGAGAGGGAGCCUGAGAAACGGCUACCACAUCCAAGGAAGGCAGCAGGCACGCAAAUUACCCACUCCCAGCUCAGGGGAGGUAGUGACGAAAUAUAACGAUACGGGACUCAUCCGAGGCCUCGUAAUCGGAAUGAGUACACUCUAAAAC
RNAcentral lists this ribosomal RNA (540 nucleotides) under Diaphorina citri (Asian citrus psyllid). RNAcentral describes it as "SSU rRNA". It matches the Rfam family "Eukaryotic small subunit ribosomal RNA", at positions 63 to 531 of the family's 1831-position model. The record is from RNAcentral. Lineage: Eukaryota; Metazoa; Arthropoda; Insecta; Hemiptera; Psyllidae.